UUGGUCGGAAUUGGGCCCAUAGAUGUUACUCGAGAGUUGGGCCGGAUUGGGGUUUUAGGCCCAAACCCAAACCGGCCCGAACCGAUAUCCACCCCUACAUGCCAUAGUCUUCAACCUUGAAAUUUUUUUAUUAGUUAAUUGACAUUGGUAGCUUCGUGUUGUGUGAGAAGGAAUAAGGGAAAGGAAGUAAUUAUCAUUGUCACACAUACUAUUAGAACUACUAGUGCUUUCGUAACUCCCAAGUAUAUCUAUUUAUAAAGGAGGAUAUGGCUUAUAUAGAUAAUUCCGACAAACUGCCCCCCUCCUCUUUUUACGUCCAGUUUGAUGCAUUUGUUUUUAAGGGUGAGCUUUGCAGUCAACUAACCUCUUCUAUUAUUUUAGGUUGUUUUAUUUACAUCCUUUCAACCGAUUCUUUCAAAAGUGAGGUGUCUAAUUUCUUAAUUGUGGUCUUCUCAAUGGAGUGGUUGAAGGUGAGUUUAUGUUUUCCUUUUUGCAACGUUAUUUUUGUGACUCUCCCCUUAAUUGAAGUUUUGUUUUGCUUACUUUAAUUUUUUUAGUGUACUAUUGAUGCUCUUAGAAGUAUCAUCUACUUUUCUUCUUUUUAAAUAUAUUAAUUGUUUGCUAUUUAAAAUAAAAAGUCUUUACUUUCUUUCUAUGUUAUAUUUAAAGUCUCUAAAAUCUUUUCUUAAACAACACAUAUGCAUCAUAAUUUUGACGUGUAUAGUGACUUCCUGCUCAAAAUAUAUGAUACUAUAUUACACAUAUGCAUGAUUAAAUGUCAUAAAGAGGCAAACAAAAUAUAUAAAUAAACAUAAGGGAUAUUUUAAUAAUAGUUAUGAUAUUUUGAAUUAACAUUUAAUAAUAUUUUUUAUCAAAUGUUUUUUAUCGAUGUAAGGAAGGAUCAACUUUAUAAUUUAUAAAGUGACUAAACCAUUUAUUACAUACAUGGAAAAGGAAGAAAUAUGACUAAAAUUGUAUUGUUUGUUUAUGUCAUGAUUAUCAUAAUUUCUCUGAUUUUUGCUGCUAUGAACAUUGAAGCGUUCUUAUAUCCACCGCUUUGUUGUUAUAGUGAUUCGGAUUGUCCUCCAUUUAGGUGUUGGAGACCUUGGAUAGCAAAGUGUGUCAAUAGAUGGUGUAGAUGUGUACCUGAGGAAGACAUAUGAUAUCAUUUGUGAUGUCACUUAGCUUUUGUUUUUAUUUCCUUUUUAUUUUUAAAGUGCACCUUGACAUCAAAAAUGACACUAAAUACUUACACUAUGCUACUGUUUACUUACUGAGAACAGUAUAAUAGUACUAGUGAACAAUAUCAGUAAAUAGUAAUUUUUAGUGGUAAAUAAAAGUUGGUUACUAAAAUUUAAAAAUUUUAUUAAUAAAAUAAUGAAGUUGGUUAAUAAACGCUCAAAUAUUGAAAAUAGUUUUUAGUAAGUUGGUUAAUGAAAUAUAUUAUGUUGAUUAAUAAAGUUAUAAAGUGGGUUAAUAAAUGUUCAGAUAUUAAAAAUAGUUUUUAAUAGUAAAACAAUGUUGAUUAAUGAAAUGUAAAAUAUUAGUUAAUGAAAUUAUGAAGUUGGUUAAUAAGCGCCCAUAUAUUAAAAAUAACACUAAUAGUAAAAUAAAGUUGAUUAAUGAAAUGAAAAUGUUGGUUAAUAAACUCCAAAUAUUGAAAUUAAUUUUACACUACUAGAAAUACUCCAUUUUCCUGCGGAUUUCAGUUAAAUUUCCACAGGAAACACGUUUCCUGCGGUUUUUCCUGCGGCUUUAGGUCCCCAGCUAAAACCUUCGUGGGUAAUAAUUUUGGCAGGAAGUUCCGCAGGAAAUUCCGCAGGUAAAUCCGCAGGAAAUUUCCGCAGAUAAAUCCGCAGGAAAUUUCCGCAGGUAAAUCCGCAGGAAAUUUCCGCAGGUAAAUCCGCAGGUAUU
This is a long non-coding RNA of Vicia villosa (hairy vetch), 1914 nucleotides long. RefSeq lists it as uncharacterized. The record is from RefSeq and is a predicted model, not a curated record. The transcript is spliced from 3 exons. NCBI's taxonomy places the organism in Eukaryota, Viridiplantae, Streptophyta, Magnoliopsida, Fabales, Fabaceae.